Molecule: long non-coding RNA, 331 nt
Organism: Gasterosteus aculeatus aculeatus (three-spined stickleback)
Lineage: Eukaryota; Metazoa; Chordata; Actinopteri; Perciformes; Gasterosteidae
Source: Ensembl
CGGAGCUCACACAUCUCUCAAACCUCCCGUUUGCCUUUCGAGGCCGUGGCUGCCGUUUAAUCCGGGUCUCGGGGUAAAUUCAACAUUUUGAUCUUUUGAUAACAACUCUUAACAGCUGCUGGGAGCACACUGUAUGCACGAUGCCAUUCGGCUAUUCUAAACCUGGAUACUCAAACAGGGAGAGAGAGAAAUGAAACAGAAGGUGCAGGACAUGCUGACGGAGCGAUGGAAGAGGACAGCGGAGCAGAAGGAAGAAAGAUGGAUGACAAGCGAGGGAGGGAUCUUUCCUCGCCCAGAUGGCGUGCAGACGAUGGCACUUCUGCGCUGCUCU